RNAcentral lists this microRNA precursor (173 nucleotides) under Pelobates cultripes (western spadefoot toad). Lineage: Eukaryota; Metazoa; Chordata; Amphibia; Anura; Pelobatidae. The record is from RNAcentral.
CAGCAGACACAUUCCAGCCAAUCAGCAGCAGACCCUCCCUCCCAGACCCUCCCACCUCCUGGACAGCAUCCAUUUUGCAUUCAUUGUGAAGCUGCAUUCUUAGUGAGCUGUCCAGGAGGUGGAAGGGUCUGGGAGGGAGGGUCUGCUGCUGAUUGGCUGGAAUGUGUCUGCUG